Molecule: ribosomal RNA, 549 nt
Filed under: Triticum aestivum (bread wheat)
Lineage: Eukaryota; Viridiplantae; Streptophyta; Magnoliopsida; Poales; Poaceae
Description: partial small subunit ribosomal RNA
Source: RNAcentral
AUGCCUCUUGGUCAGAAGAUGAUGGCGAGUUCCUCAUUCCAAUUGAGUUUAUAUUGUGUAGGUUUCUUCGUCAUGAUCUGGAUUGCCGCAGUCAUGUUCAAGUCCAAUGAUAUCUUGCGCAAGCAGACCGCUCUCAGGUGGGAGAGGAAAAUGCCAAUGCUUAUCGGGAUUGUAGUACUAUUCACCAUUCACGUGUUUGGAGUCUACUGGUGGUACAUGAAUGAUGACCUUGUUAGACCGUUGGUGAUGCUUCCUCCAAAAGAAAUACCACCAUUCUGGCAUGCUAUAUUUUUCAUUGCGGUGAAUGAUACAAUGGUUCGGCAAGCUGCUAUGGUGGUCAAGUGUGUGCUUCUCAUGUACUACGUCGAAUAUCUCAAGCGACCUUGCCCUAUUUUAUGUCGAAUAUCUCAAGCGACAAAAUUUGCUCUCAAUGUACUGUUGCAGGAUCUGGAUAUCUCUGAAAAUUUAGUACUUUCUGGUGUUGAUCUCAAGUGUUGGCUCCUACAGCAUUGCAUUUCACCAAGUGAAAUGCUACAUUUCUACUCCUAA